Molecule: transfer RNA, 69 nt
Filed under: Ovis aries (sheep)
Lineage: Eukaryota; Metazoa; Chordata; Mammalia; Artiodactyla; Bovidae
Rfam family: tRNA
About the family: Transfer RNA (tRNA) molecules are approximately 80 nucleotides in length. Their secondary structure includes four short double-helical elements and three loops (D, anti-codon, and T loops). Further hydrogen bonds mediate the characteristic L-shaped molecular structure. tRNAs have two regions of fundamental functional importance: the anti-codon, which is responsible for specific mRNA codon recognition, and the 3' end, to which the tRNAs corresponding amino acid is attached (by aminoacyl-tRNA synthetases). tRNAs cope with the degeneracy of the genetic code in two manners: having more than one tRNA (with a specific anti-codon) for a particular amino acid; and 'wobble' base-pairing, i.e. permitting non-standard base-pairing at the 3rd anti-codon position.
Source: Rfam by way of RNAcentral
CCUGGUGGCUCAGUCGGUAGAGAAACUGCCUGAAAUGCAGGAGACCUGGGUUUAAUCCCUGUGUCAGGA